AUUGAACGCUGGCGGCAGGCCUAACACAUGCAAGUCGAACGGUAACAGGAAGCAGCUUGCUGCUUUGCUGACGAGUGGCGGACGGGUGAGUAAUGUCUGUGAAACUGCACGUUGGAGGGGGGUAACUACUGGAAACGGUAGCUCAUACCGCAUAACGUCGCAAGACCAAAGAGGGGGACCUUAGGGCCUCUUGCCAUCGGAUGUGACCAGAUGGGAUUAGCUAGUAGGUGGGGUAACGGCUCACCUAGGCGACGAUCCCUAGCUGGUCUGAGAGGAUGACCAGCCACACUGGAACUGAGACACGGUCCAGACUCCUACGGGAGGCAGCAGUGGGGAAUAUUGGACAAUGGGCGCAAGCCUGAUGCAGCCAUGCCGCGUGGAUGAAGAAGGCCUUCGGGUUGUAAAGUACUUUCGUCGGGGAGGAAGGGAGGAAAGUUAAUACCUUGCCGCAUUGACGUUACCCACAGAAGAAGCACCGGCUAACUCCGUG
Molecule: ribosomal RNA, 490 nt
Filed under: uncultured bacterium
Lineage: Bacteria
Description: partial 16S ribosomal RNA
Rfam family: Bacterial small subunit ribosomal RNA
Source: RNAcentral